CCUACGGGUGGCAGCAGUGAGGAAUAUUGGUCAAUGGCCGUAAGACUGAACCAGCCAAGCCGCGUGAAGGAAGAAGGAACUAUGGUUUGUAAACUUCUUUUAUCAGGGAAUAAAGGUAUCCACGUGUGGCUAUUUGCAUGUACCCUAUGAAUAAGCAUCGGCUAACUCCGUGCCAGCAGCCGCGGUAAUACGGAGGAUGCGAGCGUUAUCCGGAUUUAUUGGGUUUAAAGGGUGCGUAGGGUGUUUUUUAAGUCAGCGGUGAAAGGUUGUGGCUCAACCAUGAAAGUGCCGUUGAAACUGGAAGACUGGAGUGGGUGAGAGGUAGGCGGAAUGCGUGGUGUAGCGGUGAAAUGCAUAGAUAUCACGCAGAACUCCGAUUGCGAAGGCAGCUUACCAAGCCAUAACUGACACUGAGGCACGAAAGCGUGGGGAUCAAACAGGAUUAGAUACCCGAGUAGUC
Molecule: ribosomal RNA, 460 nt
Filed under: uncultured bacterium
Lineage: Bacteria
Description: partial 16S ribosomal RNA
Rfam family: Bacterial small subunit ribosomal RNA
Source: RNAcentral